AACGAACGCUGGCGGCAUGCCUAACACAUGCAAGUCGAACGAAGGCUUCGGCCUUAGUGGCGCACGGGUGAGUAACGCGUGGGAAACUGCCUAUUGGUGGGGAAUAACGACGGGAAACUGUCGCUAAUACCGCAUAAGCCCUUCGGGGGAAAGAUUUAUCGCCAAUAGAUGUGCCCGCGUCCGAUUAGCUAGUUGGUGAGGUAAUGGCUCACCAAGGCGACGAUCGGUAGCUGGUCUGAGAGGAUGAUCAGCCACACUGGGACUGAGACACGGCCCAGACUCCUACGGGAGGCAGCAGUGGGGAAUAUUGGACAAUGGGCGAAAGCCUGAUCCAGCAAUGCCGCGUGAGUGAUGAAGGCCUUAGGGUUGUAAAGCCCUUUCGGGUGGGACGAUGAUGACGGUACCACCAGAAGAAGCCCCGGCUAACUUCGUGCCAGCCGCCGCGGUAA
This 449-nucleotide ribosomal RNA is filed under the name uncultured bacterium. RNAcentral describes it as "partial 16S ribosomal RNA". It matches the Rfam family "Bacterial small subunit ribosomal RNA", at positions 29 to 523 of the family's 1533-position model. The record is from RNAcentral.